This 275-nucleotide ribosomal RNA is filed under the name uncultured bacterium. RNAcentral's name for it is "partial 16S ribosomal RNA". It matches the Rfam family "Bacterial small subunit ribosomal RNA", at positions 338 to 629 of the family's 1533-position model. The record is from RNAcentral.
CCUACGGGUGGCUGCAGUUAGGAAUAUUCCACAAUGGGCGAAAGCCUGAUGGAGCAACGCCGCGUGGAGGACGAAGGCCUUCGGGUUGUAAACUUCUUUUCUAUGCGAAGAAUAUGACGGUAACAUAGGAAUAAGGGUCUGCUAACUACGUGCCAGCAGCCGCGGUCAUACGUAGGACCCAAGCGUUAUCCGGAUUGACUGGGCGUAAAGAGUUGCGUAGGUGGCGGUUUAAGCGAAUAGUGAAAUCUUGUGGCUCAACCAUAAGGCUAUUAUUC